UCCUGUCACCCUGGUUGCAUCACUAGGCAAACAUCCUUUGUGUCAUCUUGAGCAGAAAAAUGGAAAAAAAAACCCAAAAUCAUAAGUUACUGGAGAGAAAAUAAAAGAAAAGCCUUCCUCUCAACUCAAUCUGUUUCUUUUAAUUAAAAAUUAUUUUAAUGUAAGCAGAAGAAAGCAGACAUUUUCUCCCCGCUAUUGUUCUAGCUCCUCUAAUCCAUAAUAUUUGUAAUAUCUCAUUAAUUUAUGACUCAUAUUUUUUUUCUCCUUUCUUGCAGUCUUGUCAAUUGCAGUCACAUCUAUAGAAGCAAAGAAUAUUCUCAUAUAAUGGAAAGGAACACCUUUUUCAUCUUAAUUAAGCAAAGGAGUAGGGAAAGAAUGGGAAAUUGCCAUCUACUGCACAUACCAGUGAGGAGCCAAUCGUGCUCUUGAAAGCAUUCAAGGCAAGGAACACGAGGAAGAUUAGCCUGCAGUGGAACAAAGAGAUCUCACCACCCUUUUUCAUACUGAAUCGGCCCAUUCUAGAGAAGAGAAGUCAGUGUCAGACUCUGGCCUUCAUCUCAAAGUGAUGUCAAAAAGGACAAGGAAAACAGAUGGCAAUUCAUCCUCUGUGUAAAUGGACAAUUGGGAGCUCAGCAGCAGAAGGAUGCAACUGAUAAAAGAUUUGCGUGAUCAGUGCUAUUUUUUUCUGCUAUUCAGAAUUGUUUUUUAGAGACUUGGGCAGUUGCUUAGGCCUAAAGUAAACUACAAUUUCUUCUCCUUGAGGGUGGAAGCUGCCAAACCGGAAAAAGAGAAAAGGUAACAGAAUUGUGCUUUGUGGUCAGGUUACUUUUUAUGAGUCCCUAUUGUUUAUUCUGCAGUGUAGACCCAAUAUCAAUUACUAUAAUCACAGUGGAGACUGUGUGAAUCCAUCAAAGUGAAAGUCUAUAAACAUAAUAAAGGGAUGUCACAUUGUCCUCAGUAUCAAUUUAUCUAUUUUUUUUUCUUCGCUUUUACUGUCUCAUAUGUGACAGCAGUGACAAAAAAAACAUCUGUGGCAAUGUGUUGUCCAAAUCCCAAUUAUUCUUACAGCAUAUUUAUGUUUUUAGGAAGUCGAUGGUGUCAUCAGAGGAAUGACUGACUGAAAAACAAGGCAAUUUGUUAGGGUGGCAUAAAAGGACUUAUAUUUUUAUCUAACUUUUGUGUUCUUACAUCUGAUUAAUGAAUAAAGAAGCAUUAAACAGGCUUAAAAAUAUUAUAUUUACCCAAAGACUUGCUGCAUGUUGCUUUAUGUCUAUUGCGUGCAUGCUUGAAUAAACUCAUCAGCAUAAAAUUUUGCAUUCUUAGUUUAACCCUCCCAAACAACUGUAAUACAUAUACUCUCAGCUUCUUUCUCUUGAUUUACAUCCACUGAAACCCCUCUGGACUUCAUUGGAUUUGAGAUUAGACGCAGAAAGGGUGGCUGUA
Long non-coding RNA from Cuculus canorus (common cuckoo), 1443 nucleotides. RefSeq lists it as uncharacterized. The record is from RefSeq and is a predicted model, not a curated record. The transcript is spliced from 3 exons. NCBI's taxonomy places the organism in Eukaryota, Metazoa, Chordata, Aves, Cuculiformes, Cuculidae.